GAUGAAGAACGCAGUGAAAUGCGAUAAGUAGUGUGAAUUGCAGAAUUCAGUGAAUCAUCGAAUCUUUGAACGCACAUUGCGCCCCUUGGUAUCCCGAGGGGCAUACCUGUUCGAGCGUCAUUUCACCACUCAAGCCUGGCUUGGUGUUGGGCGACGUCCCCUUUGGGGACGCGCCUCGAAACGCUCGGCGGCGUGGCACCGGCUUUAAGCGUAGCAGAAUCUUUCGCUUUGGAAGUCGGGGCCCCGUCUGCCGGAAGACCUACUCGCAAGGUUGACCUCGGAUCAGGCAGGGAUACCCGCUGAACUUAAGCAUAUCAAUAAGCGGAGGA
This 329-nucleotide unclassified non-coding RNA is filed under the name soil metagenome. RNAcentral's name for it is "partial contains 5.8S ribosomal RNA, internal transcribed spacer 2, and large subunit ribosomal RNA". The stretch from base 1 to 120 matches the Rfam family "5.8S ribosomal RNA", at positions 35 to 154 of the family's 154-position model. The record is from RNAcentral.